RNAcentral lists this ribosomal RNA (481 nucleotides) under uncultured bacterium. RNAcentral describes it as "SSU rRNA". It matches the Rfam family "Bacterial small subunit ribosomal RNA", at positions 26 to 523 of the family's 1533-position model. The record is from RNAcentral.
AGGACGAACGCUGGCGGCGUGCUUAACACAUGCAAGUCGAGCGAGGCCCUCUCUUCGGAGAGGUGCCCUAGCGGCGAACGGGUGAGUAACACGUGGGCAACCUGCCCCUAGCACUGGGAUAAGCCCGGGAAACCGGGUCUAAUACCGGAUAUGACCUUCAAGGGCAUCCUCGAAGGUGUAAAGGAUUCUGGCUAGGGAUGGGCCCGCGGCCUAUCAGCUUGUUGGUGGGGUAACGGCCCACCAAGGCAACGACGGGUAGCCGGCCUGAGAGGGCGACCGGCCACACUGGGACUGAGACACGGCCCAGACUCCUACGGGAGGCAGCAGUGGGGAAUAUUGCACAAUGGGCGAAAGCCUGAUGCAGCGACGCCGCGUGAGGGAUGACGGCCUUCGGGUUGUAACCUCUUUCAGCUCCGACGAGCGAAAGUGACGGUAGGAGCAGAAGAAGCACCGGCCAACUACGCGCCAGCAGCCGCGGUAA